Molecule: long non-coding RNA, 446 nt
Organism: Helicoverpa zea (corn earworm)
Lineage: Eukaryota; Metazoa; Arthropoda; Insecta; Lepidoptera; Noctuidae
Exons: 2
Source: RefSeq, a predicted model, not a curated record
UCAAUCAAUAGGAAUCGCGAUUCGGCCCGGAAGCUGCAAGCUCGCCCGGCCACUGAGUCUCGAGCAGCCGACCUUGCUGUACGGGUUAACCUCUGCUGUCCAUCUACUUACCAAUUGCGAUGACUACUCCGAGGGAGGCUGGGACGCGGCUGGUCAUCGUCACCGACUCGCCGUUCAAGGAUAUGCAGAACAUGCAGCAGCCGACGGAUGUGACGAUGUGGUGCAUCUGUGAGGUGUGCGGCCUCCGCAUACACCCCAUACAUGGCUACCACACCACCUCCAGCGGUUCUGCCCCUGCCAACUAAAUGCGCUGCAUUUGGCUCAGAGCGGUUAUUAUAUUAAUUUCGUCUUAGUCUCUCUCUAACCCUUAGAUUGUCCUAAUAUAAAGAAUUAUUGUAUCAACCUACCUUAGAGAACCACUUUCUAUUAAACCCUCUUUAGUUUGA